Molecule: ribosomal RNA, 448 nt
Filed under: uncultured bacterium
Lineage: Bacteria
Description: bacterial SSU rRNA
Rfam family: Bacterial small subunit ribosomal RNA
Source: RNAcentral
ACUCCUACGGGAGGCAGCAGUGGGGAAUAUUGGACAAUGGGCGCAAGCCUGAUCCAGCAAUGCCGCGUGAGUGAUGAAGGCCUUCGGGUUGUAAAGCUCUUUCGCACGCGACGAUGAUGACGGUAGCGUGAGAAGAAGCCCCGGCUAACUUCGUGCCAGCAGCCGCGGUAAUACGAAGGGGCUAGCGUUGUUCGGAAUUACUGGGCGUAAAGGGCGCGUAGGCGGUGUGUCAAGUCAGGCGUGAAAGCCCCGGCUCAACCUGGGAACAGCGCUUGAGACUGGCACGCUCGAGUUCGGGGAGAGGAUGGUGGAAUUCCCAGUGUAGAGGUGAAAUUCGUAGAUAUUGGGAAGAACACCGAUGGCGAAGGCAGCCAUCUGGACCGACACUGACGCUGAGGCGCGAAAGCGCUGGGGAGCAAACAGGAUUAGAUACCCUGGUAGGCUCUGC